RNAcentral lists this ribosomal RNA (432 nucleotides) under uncultured bacterium. Its description in RNAcentral is "partial 16S ribosomal RNA". It matches the Rfam family "Bacterial small subunit ribosomal RNA", at positions 29 to 506 of the family's 1533-position model. The record is from RNAcentral.
AACGAACGCUGGCGGCAUGCCUAACACAUGCAAGUCGAACGAGACCUUCGGGGCCAGUGGCCCACGGGUGCGUAACGCGCGGGAACCCGACCUUAGGUUCGGAAUAACUCCCCGAAAGGGGUGCUAAUACCGGACAAAGGCUUCGGAACAAAGAUUUAUCGCCUUUGGAUGGGCCCGCGUUGGAUUAGCUAGUUGGUAGGGUAAAAGCCUACCAAGGCGACGAUCCAUAGCUGGUCUGAGAGGAUGAUCAGCCACACUGGGACUGAGACACGGCCCAGACUCCUACGGGAGGCAGCAGUGGGGAAUAUUGGACAAUGGGCGAAAGCCUGAUCCAGCAAUGCCGCGUGAGUGAUGAAGGCCUUAGGGUUGUAAAGCUCUUUUACCCGGGAUGAUAAUGACAGUACCGGGAGAAUAAGCUCCGGCGAACUCCGC